UUUUCCCCCCAUCUCUAGCUGCCAGACAGAUGAGCACUUCAUCAUCAAACUUGUAAGGACAGCUGAUUCUCACCCUUCUGCAAGCAAAAUCCUCUUAAUCAUAGUGAGGUUAAGCAGAUUUUCUGGGAAGUUCUCAACACAACAGUCCCCACGGUGGAAAUCUGCACUGAACAAUCACUCACAUAAAAGCACCUUUCUCCACGAGCACUGCACAAACCAGGACCUCUGUGUUCCAGAAGAGUGGGAAAUCCUGAUAAAUAGCAAGGUCUGCUCUGGUUUCAGAUACUUCUGGAGAGAGACAGUUUUACAGGGCAACCAAAAGUUGUAUUCCAGCUUUUGGCCACGGGUCAAGGGUCCCCUGGAUUUUGUACAGUGGAAUGCAGGAUCUAUUUAGAUAUAUCUUAGGAUGCCUGUUGAGUAAAAAUGACCUUUACUAGUUAGACAUUGUGCCUCUGAGUGUACAAGUUGAAUGGUGCAUGUGCAGUGAGUCAGCAUUUAAUAUUUCAGCUCCCUGUCGGUUUUUAAGUUUUAAAGACUGAACAUACAGUUAUUCACAAUAUUUUCUCUCUUCUUCCUCCCCCCACAUUAAGACAAAGCAGCAGAUUCAGAGACCAGUGAGAUUAAAGAACAAGCAAGGAAACAAAAAAACUUCCGUGAUUUUAGGCAAUUUGGACAUGGUCAUUGAAGAGGUUUACAGGAAAAAUACCUGAUCAUGCAAACAUAUUAUCAGAACUUCUCCUAGGAGCAGGGAUUUUGCUUAGAUAGGCUAAAAACUUCUCUAGAUCCAUAUUCUGCCAAAAGCAUCUUGUUACAUCUCAAAACUCAGAUAUCACAACAUUAGAGUUCAGUUGCACUACCCAAACAGCUGUAAGUUUUAUGAGCAAUAUUAGGAUUCACACUGGGAAAAUCACUAGAAAAACAAUUAUAUACAGAAGCAGAUGGUUAAAGACUAACUAAAAAUUGGAAGACCUACUAAACACAUCCUGUUUGAGUUUAAGGACAAAUGCAUGUCACCAAGGAAAUCCUUUAAAAGACAAUGCAUUCAACAAGCUCCAAAAUUUAAAUCCUCAAUUGUAAGAAUUUUACCUGAAAAUCAGAGAUGAAAGUGAAUAAACAGCUCAGCUGUCUCAGCUUCUCAGCUCUUCCAUCAAAUGUAUACCUUGCAUUUCAGCCUGAAAAAUCUUUCUUUACAGCCACAUGUGUUGCAGAGAACUUUACUCCCAAUGUUAUAAUUUCAAGGCAAUAAGGAGAUGGCAAAUAAUCUCUGCAUUGAGAGCCUGCUGGUCACAGCUCAAUUAAUUGAGUCACUGAUCUGAGGAGUGCCUUAAUCAAUGUUUUAAUCAAUUUUUUAUGAACAAAUUCAAAACUACUAAACACUUCUUUCACUGGUCCAACAAGAUAAAGAUGUGCUAACUCGGUGUAGAAGUCCAGAAGACAAGGGCAUUCUAAUUGAAAUGAGUUGUUUCCCCUCUUCAUUAAAAACUCCUAAUUUAAAAAGAGCCUCAUGUUCACCUGCAUCUAAACCCAUGUAAAGUGAAUUACACAGAUGAAAAACUGAGCAUUCAAGCCAGAGAAAGAAACAAACACCCCUGAAGGCUUCAGAGGCAUUUUUAACUGAGUUGUAAUACAGGAAUCCAAACAGCAUCUUACUGUGUCUGCUUUUGCUUUGCCCUAAAUAAUGACACACAGCUGUAUUUACACUGCUGUAUAUUUAGGUAAAAUGUGUCUGCAACCUGUGUAAGGUAAGCAACGCAUUUUUGCUGUUGUAACAUUAACUUUUGGCUUUUUUGACCUGUGUGUUCAAAAUGUUCCUUGCCUUAACACCCUCUUCAUUUUCUUUGCCCUGAAUAGUUGCACACACAGUGUGCAGACCUGUUUCAUGUUACCAAUGCUAGAAUUCCAAGCUGUACUUUGAUCAUGGCCCAAUGAGUGGUAAUUUUCUAUGUUGAACAUGUCAGUCUGAAAAAAAAAAAAGAAGAGAAAAAAAAAGAACAAACUGUUCCCAGUCUCUGAAAUUUAAAAACAAAAAAUCCACAGUUCCCAAAGUUAUCUGCUUCUUAUCAAGAUCCGUGUUUGGCACCAGAUGCAUUUGAUUCAUUCAUCAUUGUCAGUGCACUUACACACUAAUUAUUUCAAAUUGUUUCCUUGGGCAGAGGUCUAGGACAAAUGCAAGCAAGCCAAAAAUAGCAGUUAUGAAUAAUUAUGCAUAAUUUACCUCAAGGCCUGGGCCAGGCUAUCAUUAAAACUUCUUCUUUCCACCUGUGAUCCCAGCUAAUUGUGGACUUUAAAUUAGUUCAAGAUUACUUUUUCUUUUUUUUUUUUAAUAUGAUGCCAACAUUUAACCUUCCCAUUAGAAGUUUUCUGAUGCUUUAAAAAUUUCUAGUGAAAUGUCAGCAAGGUUCCUUCUUUUUUAACCAUGCCCUUGUAUUUCCCAGCCUGACAACAAACUUUGCUAACAGGAAAAACUUCAGAGUCAAAGUCAGCACAUGCAGCCUCACGUUAAGGCUGCCAAACAAGAUUCUUAGAAAAGCACAGUUUCUCUCUCAACCUCAAAGUAAGUUCUGAUGCUCCAAAACUAAAGCUGGUUUAGUCCCUUGAACUUUCCCUAUUAAAGUUCUGACUCCUUCUGGAGACAAGAAGAGAACUUUCCCAACAACAACAAAACCAAAAUUUAUAAAACACUUGCUCCUCCAAACUCAGAAAUAUCUGUUUAAUUCUACAGACAGCAAACUCAUUAAUUCCAGUGGGAUCCAAAGGGGUCAGUGAUGAAGGUGUAGAUGAUUUUGCUGAACUGGAGCCUUAUUCCAUUAAUUGUAAUGAAUGUACCUCCUAUGUUGUUGCGCUGCUUUAACUCCUUAAAUUACAGCUUUGAAAUAAAAACUGAUGAAAAAAAAGGAAAACUCACCCUGAAGACUUCCAGGAGAAGAAACAUAUACCUCAAAAAAAAGCAAGUGUAUGUACUACUGAUAAUUCCUAAAUACUCUCCAGUUUGGGAACACAGUACAAGCUUCACUGUUGAGACAACAGAAAAUAUGGUAACAGUAGCCAGAGGUAUUAAUGCACAAAUUAUAAGCAUUGCUUACUCAGAAAAAAAAAUCUACGAAUUCUUCUAUUCGGUGUCUCAAACAUCAGACCUCACAGGGACAAAAAAUGCUUCACUGUUCAGUUAACAGUGCAAGUCAUGCAGGAACCAGACCAGCUAAGUUGUGAAGCCUUGGGAGCCAAGGGUAUGUUUAUGUACUUUCCUUAUUCAAGAUAACCAAAAAUAUCAAAGCAGAUAUUUAAAAAAAAAAAGUUAGAUUCAGUAAC
Lepidothrix coronata (blue-crowned manakin) is the source of this 3309-nucleotide long non-coding RNA. RefSeq lists it as uncharacterized. The transcript has 3 exons. Lineage: Eukaryota; Metazoa; Chordata; Aves; Passeriformes; Pipridae. The record is from RefSeq and is a predicted model, not a curated record.